Molecule: transfer RNA, 70 nt
Filed under: Camelus bactrianus (Bactrian camel)
Lineage: Eukaryota; Metazoa; Chordata; Mammalia; Artiodactyla; Camelidae
Also listed under: 1 other name
Rfam family: tRNA
About the family: Transfer RNA (tRNA) molecules are approximately 80 nucleotides in length. Their secondary structure includes four short double-helical elements and three loops (D, anti-codon, and T loops). Further hydrogen bonds mediate the characteristic L-shaped molecular structure. tRNAs have two regions of fundamental functional importance: the anti-codon, which is responsible for specific mRNA codon recognition, and the 3' end, to which the tRNAs corresponding amino acid is attached (by aminoacyl-tRNA synthetases). tRNAs cope with the degeneracy of the genetic code in two manners: having more than one tRNA (with a specific anti-codon) for a particular amino acid; and 'wobble' base-pairing, i.e. permitting non-standard base-pairing at the 3rd anti-codon position.
Source: Rfam by way of RNAcentral
GGGUAUCACUCAGUGGUAGAGUGCAUGCUUAGAAUGCACGAGGUCCUGGGUUCAUUCCCCGGUACUUCCA